This 253-nucleotide ribosomal RNA is filed under the name uncultured bacterium. Its description in RNAcentral is "partial 16S ribosomal RNA". It matches the Rfam family "Bacterial small subunit ribosomal RNA", at positions 524 to 776 of the family's 1533-position model. The record is from RNAcentral.
UACGGAGGGGGCUAGCGUUAUUCGGAAUUACUGGGCGUAAAGCGCACGUAGGCGGAUGGACAAGUUGGGGGUGAAAUCCCAGGGCCCAACCCUGGAACUGCCUUCAAAACUGUCUAUCUUGAGGUCGUGAGAGGUGAGUGGAAUUCCGAGUGUAGAGGUGAAAUUCGUAGAUAUUCGGAGGAACACCAGUGGCGAAGGCGGCUCGCUGGCUCGAUACUGACGCUGAGGUGCGAAAGCGUGGGGAGCAAACAGG